Molecule: RNA transcript, 6651 nt
Organism: Antechinus flavipes (yellow-footed antechinus)
Lineage: Eukaryota; Metazoa; Chordata; Mammalia; Dasyuromorphia; Dasyuridae
Gene name: ankyrin repeat domain-containing protein 26-like
Exons: 3
Source: RefSeq, a predicted model, not a curated record
UACAAUCGGACUGAAUCGGUUGUAACUGCUGCGGGCUCACAGGUCUCUAAACCUCCGCCCGCCAGUUACAGACAUUUUUUUUUUCUCUUUCAAUUCCCCUUCUGAGUAGGCUGAAGGCCCAAGAGAGGACUGCCCCCGCUGCCUCUCAUGACUGGUCCUGAAGCCUGCCUCCAGGAUGAAGAUUUUCAACUUGGACAAGAAAGCGCAGUCUACAUCUCUCUCCUUCAUCACCCCACGGACUUAUUUAGGAGCCCCGGAGCCCGACUCCAACGCAGGAUACCUGAUCCAGGAAAAGCAUCUCGGGAAGCUCCACAAAGCUGUCUCGAUCGGGGACAUGGCGAAAGAGCAGCAACUGCUGCUCGGAAAGCACAGCGUGAAGGAUCUGUAUAAAAUAAUGAGGAAAAAGUACAGAUGACAUCAGAUGCUCUUGAGGAACUCAAUCAUCUGACACAGAAUACCAGCAUUAAACAGAAACCAAAGAUGUGUUUAUAUUCAAGAAGAUACCACUGAAGUCCUAUUCCCCAUUGACCCAUAGUAGAAUAGAGGUGACUGGGUUCUUGGAGGCUCUGAUAAUAGAGUGUAAUCUCUGGCAAACCUCACCAAGCUAAAAGGAUUGUGUUCGAUUCAGGCUGAUGAUUUUUCAGUCAUAGAAGUUCUCAAGUUUGAUCUACCAUUUGUUUCAGUGCAGAAAUAAAUACCUACAAUGAGCCAAACAAAUUUGAGAUAAGACACAAUCCCUGAGCCAAGAUGGCAGAGUGAAGCCAGGAAUUUGGUCCAGAACCCACAUGAAACCAAACCUCUAAACAAAGUCUAAUCAAAUGAAACUACUCUCCAACUCAAGAUAGAUUGGAAAAACUAAAGAAAAGUCAGUUUCACUGGAGGGAAAAGGAUAUUCAGUCCAGCUCAGGCAGAGUCAGGAAAAGACAGUGAGAAAGUCUUAAUCACAACAGAUCAGCAAGUGAGAGCCUCAGUCCUGGCUAAGUAGAACAGUGGGGGUAACCCCUAGUCCCAGCUCAGAAGACAAAUUCUGGGAAAUCAUACUUUUCCUGAAGAGAGAAAGAAAAGCUACCCCCUGCAAACACAGGGAGUUCCUGUGCUUAAACCCAAGAUUUAGAAAUGCACAAGAAACUUAGAAAAGUGCCACCUUUAGGAACAGAGCUCAACCGUAUAAGAAAAAAAAGAAAAUGAAAAAAGAAGAGGAAAGAAAAUGAGCAUGAAACAUAAAAGGAGUUUGACCAUAGAAAGCUACUAUGGUGACCAAGAAGACCAAAGCAACAACUCAAUAAAGGACAUGAAAAGAGUGAUAUUAAUUGGGCUCAAGCUCAAAGAAACUUCUUGAUCUCAUGUUCAUAAAAAGGCAAAUAAGAGAGAUAGAAUAAAAAUGUGAAAAUAUAUAAGAGAUACAAAAGAGAGUCAACAGUUUGAAAAAGGCAAUUCCUUUAAAUAAAAUUGGCCAUAUUAAAAAAAAAUAAAAGGAAAAAAUUCUGAAAAGUAGAAUUAACCAGAUGGGAAAAAGAGAUAAAAGCUAAUUAAAGAAAAAUCACACACUUAAAAGCUAGAAUGGGGCAAAUGAAAGGUAAUGAUUUUAGGAAUCAGUCAAACUAAAAAGAAUGAAAAAAAAAUGAAAGAAAAUGUAAAAUACUUUGCAAAGAGACAAUUUAAAAACUAUUGGUCUACCAGAAGGCCAUGAUAAAAAAGAGCAUGGAUAGCACUAUUCUAGAAAUGAUUAAGGAAAACUAUCCUGAUUCUCUAGAAAUGGGGAGAAUUCUACUAAAGAAUCCAUCAAUGACCUAUGGAAAGAGAUCCCACAAGAAAAAUCCCAAGGAUUCCAGAAGUAUAGUCACAAGGAAAAAAUAAUGCAAACUGCCAGACAAAUACAAUUUAAGUAGCAAAGAGCAACAGUCAGGAUUAUCCAGGAUCUAGCAGUGUCUACAAUAAAGGAUCAGAGGGCCUGGAAUACCAUAUUCCACAAGGCAAAGAACCUGGGGCUACAAGCAAGAAUUGACUACUCAGUAAGACUUGAGUAUCAUCUUUCAGGGGAGAUGAUGGUUUUUCAAAGAAGAGACUUUCUAUUGAAAUAAUUUCUAUUGAAAAAAGCAGAACUAAACAGUAUUUAAUAUAAAAAAUAUAGGACUCAAGAGAAGCCUAGAAAGAUAAACAGAAAAAAUACAUUUAAAUUUUAUCCCUAGAUGGGAAAGUGAUAUUUGUAAGUCUUGAGAACUGUAUUAUUGAGGCAGUGAGAGGUGAGGGAUCAUAUGGACUCUUUGUCUAGGUGUAGUUUUGAAUGGACUCUGAUAUAGUAUUAAAAGAAAAAAAGGGAUGGGAAAAGGAUUACUGAGAGAAGAGGACUAGGGAGGUAAAAUGGGACAAAUUAGAUCACAUGAAGAGGCACAAAAGAUCUAUAAACAAUCAAGGGAAACAAGGGGGUUAAGCAUAUUCUGAGAGUAUAUCUUACCAGUUUGGUUCAAAGAGGGAAUAAUUUAAUAAUUUAAAUCAUUUUUUCAGUUGAAUAUAGAAAUUGAUUUUACCCUAUUAAGUAGAAGAAAGAGAAAGAAGAAAGAAAAAAAGAGGGACUUGACAAAAGGGAGGGCAGAAACACUGGGGAAAAAGUGGUAAGAGACGGGAGACAGGUGAUAGAAGGUAGAGCAAGUAAUGGGUGGGGUGGAUUAAUAAAACACUACAACAGAUGGAGAGAACAAAAAGUAUAUACAAGGGAUAGAAGGAAAUACAGAGCUGAUAAUAACAAUGAAUGUGAAUGGGAUGAACUCUUAAAAUAAAAUAGAAGUGAAUAGCAGAGCAGAUUAAAAAACAAAAUCCUACAAUAUGUAGUUUACAAGAAUCACAUUUGACACAGAGAUACAUACAGAGUAAAAUGGAGCAAAAGUUAUGCUUCAACUGGAGUAAUAAAAACAUUCUGAUCUCAGAUAAAGCAAAAGUAAAUGUCUUAAUUAAAAGAGAUAAGGAAAGUACAUCUUGUUAAAGGAUACUAUAAACAAUGAAGUAGUAACAAUACUAAAUGUAUAUGCACCAAAAUUCUAGAGCACUCCAAUUCUUAGAGAAGAUAUUAAGCCAGUUACAAAAAUAGACUGAAAAACUAUUCUAGUGAGGGACCUCAACUUUCCCUCACAGAAUCAGACAAAUCUAACCACAAAGUAAACAAAUCAGGGAAGUUAAUAGAAUCUUAGAAAACCUAUAUGAUAGACCCCUGGAGAAAAUUUAAUAGGGACAUAAAGGAAUAGAUUUUUUUUUUUUCUUGGCAACAUACAGCACCUACAAAAAAAUUUGACCAUUAAAAAAAAAAAGUUACAAUCAAAUGCAGAAAGGAAGAAAUGAUAAAUGCUUCCUUUUCAGACCAUAAUAUAAUAAAAAUUAUAUCCAAUAAAAGGCCAGGAAAAGAUAGACUAAAAACCAAUUGGAAAUUAAAUAAUCUAAUUCUAAAUAGUGGAUUAAACAAUUCACAAAAGCAAUUCAUAAUUUAAUCCAAGAGAAUGACGAGACAAUGUAACAAAACCUAUGGGAUAUAGCCACAGCAAUUCUUACAGGAAAUCUUAUAUAUCUAAACAGUUAACAUGAAUAAAAUAAAAGGAUCAAUGACUUGGGCAUGCAACUAAAAAAGGCUAGAAAAAGAAAUUUAAAACCUCCCUUUAAAUACCAAAUUAGAAAUUCUGAAAUUCAAAGGAGAGAAUAAUAAAAUUUAAAGAAAACUAUUGAAUUAAACUGUUGGUUUUAAGAAAAAAUCAACAAAAUAGAUGAACCUUUGGUUAAUUUGGUUAGAAAAAUGAAAGAAGAAAACCAAAUUAUCAGCAUCAAAAAUGAAGAGUAUUUACCACUAAUGAAAAAGAAAUUAAAGGAUUAGGAACCCAAAUGUAUGCCAGCAAGUCUGACAAUCUUAACAGAAAUAGAUGAAUAUUUACAAUAGUAUAAAUUGCUCAGAUUAAAUUUAAAAUUAAAUUCCUUAAACAGUCAAUACCAUUUUAGAAAAAGAAAUUGAACAAGUCAUCAACUCUAAGAAAAAAAUCUCCACAGUCAGAUGGACACAAGUAAAUUCUAUCAAAUAUUUAAAGAAAAAUUCUAAUACUAUGUAAACUAUUUUAGGAAAAAAGGCAAAGAAGUUCUGUCAAAUUCCUUCAAUGACACAAAUAUGGAAAUAACCUAAACCAGGAAGUCAAAAAGAAAAUUAUAGAUCUCCCUAGUUGAAUAUAAUAUUUUAAAUAAAAUAUUAGCAAAGAGAUUGUACUAAAUAUCAGCAGGAUAAUACAUUAUGAUCAAGUGGGAUUUAUACCAGGAAUGCAGGAUGGGUUCAAUAUCGGGAAAACUAUAGCCGUAUUUAAUCAUAUCAAUAACAAAACCAACAGAAAUCAUAUGAUAGUUUCAGUAGACGCUUUUGACAAAAUAUAGCACUUAUUCCUAUUAAAAACAUAGAAUUGGGAUAAAGGGAAUUUUCCCAAAAAUAUAAGUAUCUAUCUAAAACCAACAACAAGCAUCAUUUGGAAUGGAGAGAACCUGGACACAUCCCCACUAUGGGAUCAGUGGGGAAACAAGGAUGCCUAUUAUCACCACUAUGAUUUAAUAUUGUACUAAAAGCAUUGGCUUUAGCAGUAAGAAAAGAAAAAUGAAAAUUAGAAUAAGCAAUGAGGAGACUGCAGAUCUUUGCAAAUGACAUGAUAUACUAGAAUCUUAGAAAAUCAUCCAAAAACCUCCUCGAAACAACAGCUUUAGCAAAGUUGCAGAAUAUAAAAUAAACCUGCACAAAUUAUCAGCAUUUCUGUAUAUUAACUGACAAAUUCUAGCAGCAAGAGAUACAUUCUAUUUAAAGUAACUGUAGACAAAAUAAUUGAGAGGGUUAUGGGUAAAGUAUAAGAGGUCAGUUAAUUUGGUAAUUGGGAGAUUCCUAGUAACUUUGGAGGAGCAGUUGCAUUGAAUAAUAAGUUUUGAAGUCAGGUUAGAGGGGCUUAAACUGAGAUUGAGACGAGAAGCAGAGCUGAAGAGCAUAGAUGGCUUUUCCCCUGACUUGAGAAAGGAAUGAAAAAACAGGUGACAAGCUGUGGAAGUAGAUCAAUGAGGGCUUUUAAAAGAUGGGGCAACAUGGGGUGUUUGCAAAAAUGGAAUAUAGAUAAGGAAAGACUUAAGUUUGGAAAGCGUGGAAAUGAUAGAUAGAAGGUAAAAUCAUCUGAAGAAAAGCAGAUGAAAAGUGAUUGUUGUAAAGUGAUAGUUCUUGGCAAGGAGAAGGACUUGCCUUUUCAUCCAGAAUAGAAAAGUAGAUAGUGGAAGAAGAUGUCUGAGUAAUGUGAGAAAAAAUUAGAGAAAAGGAAACUUUUAGUAAAUAACCUGUCAAUGAAGAUAUGUUCAUCAGCAGAGAGGGUAAGUGUAGGGGAUACUAUAGAAUACUUGGGAAGAAAAAAGAAAGUUCAUUACAACUGGCUAUGAUAAUGAACAAGGUAGGAUGCCUUGCCUCUAAGGAUUCUUUAUCCUUCAGGACAGUCACAAGUUUGUGAUCUCAUUAGAAAUUUAGCAACAAUUUCUAAAAUCUCUGUGAUCCUGGAUCUUAGCAUCUUUGGGCUCCGUUUUCUGGAGCUAAAAUAUUUUAGUACCUUUAAAAUCACUUGGGAUAUAUCAAAUACAUAAUUACAUGCAAAGCAGACAUUUUGUGUAUAGACAUGAGCAACUUCUUCUGACCACAUGUGUAACUAUUACUCCUAUUUCUCUUUGUGAACCUAGUUCCUGAUGAAUCUGUUCUUUUGUAAAUCUUUCUGCCUGUGUAUCUUAAGUAGGGUGAUUUUAUAGACUUGUAACACUAGUUAUCCUAGUGUCUGCUGCUUACAAACAAAAUGUCUUUCAUUUUAGCCUUCCCCUAGAGUUUUCUAGUACUUUUAAGGAGAUUUGUAGGAAGUUUCUAGACUCUUUGCAAAUGGCUUUGGUCCCCACAGAUGGUAUUCCCUCCAUUGUAUAGACAAGUUUCCCGUACUUUGUUUUGAUUUGGUUAUAAAUAUUUGGAUCAACUUUUACAAAGAAAUAUUUACUUCAAAAUCUAUAACAAAAAAAAUCAAAUUUACUCCAUAACAUGUGGGUAGCCUAAUCUUUCAUACCACCUCAGACUCUUGUAAAGGGAAAAAGAUUAGGUUAAUUAUUUAGCUAAUUUCCUAUAAGGCACAGUUCCAAGUUCAAAUAUCAACCUCACAUUAGAUUUGAGUGCCAGGCAUCUGGUUUCUUGGGCUUCUCUAUUGGGAUGGCUGACUGGCUGCAAUAUCCCAUCAUGGCUUAAACUCCUAGCUCUAUUGGGGAUUCUAUCACUUCUGCCUAAAAACUGAUAAGGCCAAAUAAAACAGAAGAGAAACAAACAACCCAGCCCAUUUCUCAGAGCCAUAGAGUAAAAAGAGAAAGAGGGGUGUGUCCUCAGCGUAUAGUGCCCACAUUUGGGUGAACUAUGUAUAAUGUUCUCCCUUUUGUGAGUAUUGUUUUUUAAAGGGAUAUCCUCUUCCAGCUUUGCAGCCAAACAUAGAGGUACAAUGCCCCCCAAAUUCACCUACUAUCUUCCACUUAAUGAAUUUCUGAUACCAUGUUUGGCAGCCUGGCAUAUUCCAAUCUCUAUUAUCAGUAUUUCUAGGCCUUAUGAAUUGUUUUUAUACUUAAUGAUUGUAAUAGUUGAAAUUC